Molecule: non-coding RNA, 115 nt
Organism: Triticum aestivum (bread wheat)
Lineage: Eukaryota; Viridiplantae; Streptophyta; Magnoliopsida; Poales; Poaceae
Source: Rfam
CUUAUACUCCCUCCGUCCGAAAAUACUUGUCAUUGAAAUGGAUGUAUCUAGAUGUAUUUUAGUUCUAGACACAUCCAUUUUGAUGACAAGUAAUUCCGGACGGAGGGAGUACUUG